UCCACCGUGGCGCAAUUGGCUAGCGCGUCCGGCUGUUAACAUAUUACGUGUUAACCGGGAGGUUGGAGGUUCGAGCCCUCCCGGUGGAG
Non-coding RNA from Aulographum hederae CBS 113979, 89 nucleotides. NCBI's taxonomy places the organism in Eukaryota, Fungi, Ascomycota, Dothideomycetes, Aulographales, Aulographaceae. The record is from the annotation of a GenBank genome assembly.